RNAcentral lists this ribosomal RNA (1785 nucleotides) under Durio zibethinus. RNAcentral's name for it is "SSU rRNA". It matches the Rfam family "Eukaryotic small subunit ribosomal RNA". Lineage: Eukaryota; Viridiplantae; Streptophyta; Magnoliopsida; Malvales; Malvaceae. The record is from RNAcentral.
CUUGAUUAAUCCUGCCAAUAGUCAUACGCUUGUCUUAAAGAUUAAGCCAUGCAUGUGUAAGUAUGAACCAAUUCAGACAAAUGGCUCAUUAAACCAAUUAUAGUUUGUUUGAUGGUAUCUACUACUCAAAUUACCAUAGUAAUUCUAGAGCUAAUACAUGGAACAAACCCUGACUUAUGAAAGGGAUACACUUACUAGAUAAAAGGUCGACAUGGUUUUGCCAGUUGCUUGGAUGAUUCAUGAUAACUAAAUGGAUCUCAUGACCUUUGUCAUGGUGAUGCAUCACUCAAAUUUUUGCCCUAUCAACUUUUAAUGGUAGGAUAAUGGCCUACUAUGGUGGUGAUGGGUGAUAGAGAUUUAAGGUUUGAUUCUAAAGAGGGAGCCUGACAAAUGGCUACCACAUUUAAGAAAGGCAGUAAGUAGGCAAAUUACCCAAUCUUGACAUGGGGAGAUAGUGACAAUAUAUAACAAUAUUGGGCUCUAUGAGUCUAGUAAUUGGAAUGAGUACAAUCUAAAUCCCUUAAGGAGAAUCCAUUGAAAGUCAAGUCUGGUGCCAGUAGCCGUGGUAAUUCUAGUUCCAAUAACGUAUAUUUAAGUUAUUACAGUUAAAAAGCUCAUAGUUGAAACUAGGAUUAGGUCAUCCAGUCUGCUUCAUAGUGAGCAUUAGUUUACUUAUCCCUACUAUCGGUAAUGCACUUCUGGCCUUAACUGGCUAGGUCAUUCCUUCGGUGUUGUUACUUCUAAAAAAUUAGAAUGCUCAAAGUAGGCCUAUGCUUGUAUACAUUAGCAUGGGAUAACAUCAUAAGAUUUUAGUCUUAUUGCGUUGGCCUUCAAGAUCAGAGUAAUGAUUAAUAGGGAUAGUUGAGGGCAUUCAUAUUUCAUAGUCAAAGGUGAAAUUCUUCGAUUUAUGAAAGACAAACAAUUGUGAAAGCAUUUGCCAAGGAUGCUUUUAUUAAUCAAGAAUAAAAGUUGGGGACUUUAAGAUGAUCAAAUAUCAUCCUAGUUUCAACCAUAAAAGUUGUCGACCAGAGAUCGACAGAUGUUACUUUUAAGACUCCACCAGUACGUUAUAAGAAAUCAAAGUAUUUGGGUUUUGGGGAAAGUAUGGUCAUAAGGCUGAAACUUAAAGGAAUUGAUGGAAGGGCACCAUCAGGAGUGGAGCCUAUGGUUUAAUUUGACUUAACACUAGGAAACUUACUAGGUCCAAAUAUAGUAAGUAUUUAUAAACUGAGAGUGCUUUCUUAAUUCUAUGGGUGGUAGUGCAUGGCUGUUCUUAGUUGGUGAAGCAAUUUGUCUAGUUAAUUUCAUUAACGAACAAGACCUUGACUUGCUAAUUAGCUACAUAGAGGUGAUCUUUCAUGGAUAGCUUUUUAAAGGGACUCUGGCCAUUUAGGCUAAAGAAGUUUGAGGCAAUAACAAGUUUAUGAUGCCUUUAGAUGUUUUGGGCUGCACACACACUACAUUGAUAUAUUCAACACAUCUAUUGCCUUGGCCAAUAGGCCUGGGUAAUUUUUGAAAUUUCAUCAUGAUAGGAUUAGAUCAUUGCAAUUUUUGGUCUUCAAUGAAGAAUUUCUAAUAAGCAUAAGUCAUCAGCUAAUGUUGACUAUGUCCUUGCCUUUUGUACACAUUGCCUGUCACUCUUAUCAAUUGAGUGGUCUGGUGAAAUUUUGAAUCAUUACGUUAUAGAUGAUUUGGUACCUAUGACAUCAUGAGAAGUCCACUAAACCUUAUCAUUUAGAGGAAGGAGAAGUCAUAACAAGGUUUCCAUAGGUGAACCAACAAAAG